AGAAUCUUUGGCUCAGUGGUAGAGUAUCUGCUUGGCAUGCAGAAGAUUCUAGGUUCAAUCCUCAGCAUUUCUA
Molecule: transfer RNA, 73 nt
Filed under: Sphaerodactylus townsendi
Lineage: Eukaryota; Metazoa; Chordata; Lepidosauria; Squamata; Sphaerodactylidae
Description: tRNA-Ala
Rfam family: tRNA
About the family: Transfer RNA (tRNA) molecules are approximately 80 nucleotides in length. Their secondary structure includes four short double-helical elements and three loops (D, anti-codon, and T loops).
Source: RNAcentral